RNAcentral lists this ribosomal RNA (492 nucleotides) under uncultured bacterium. Its description in RNAcentral is "partial 16S ribosomal RNA". It matches the Rfam family "Bacterial small subunit ribosomal RNA", at positions 29 to 507 of the family's 1533-position model. The record is from RNAcentral.
AGUGAACGCUGGCGGUAGGCCUAACACAUGCAAGUCGAACGGCAGCACAGUAAGAGCUUGCUCUUACGGGUGGCGAGUGGCGGACGGGUGAGGAAUACAUCGGAAUCUACUUUUUCGUGGGGGAUAACGUAGGGAAACUUACGCUAAUACCGCAUACGACCUACGGGUGAAAGUAGGGGAUCUUCGGACCUUGCGCGAUUGAAUGAGCCGAUGUCGGAUUAGCUAGUUGGCGGGGUAAAGGCCCACCAAGGCGACGAUCCGUAGCUGGUCUGAGAGGAUGAUCAGCCACACUGGAACUGAGACACGGUCCAGACUCCUACGGGAGGCAGCAGUGGGGAAUAUUGGACAAUGGGCGCAAGCCUGAUCCAGCCAUACCGCGUAGGUGAAGAAGGCCUUCGGGUUGUAAAGCCCUUUUGUUGGGAAAGAAAAGCAGCAGGUUAAUACCCCGCUGUUCUGACGGUACCCAAAGAAUAAGCACCGGCUAACUUCGUG